Molecule: ribosomal RNA, 1473 nt
Filed under: Candidatus Woesearchaeota archaeon
Lineage: Archaea; Nanobdellati; Candidatus Woesearchaeota
Description: bacterial SSU rRNA
Rfam family: Archaeal small subunit ribosomal RNA
Source: RNAcentral
CUCGUUGAUCCUGCGAGAGAUUGCUGCUUUUCGAGUUCUACUAAGCCAUGCAAGUCAAGGGGGUUUUUCGGAACCACCGGCGUCAUGCUCAGUAACAUGUUGAUAACCUGCACUUAGGUAGGGGAUAGCCUUGGGAAACUGAGGGUAAUACCCUAUAGGAAAUUUAUUCUGGAAUGAUUAAUUUCUCAAAGUUUUUCGCCUAAGUAUGGGUCAGCACCCGAUUAGCUUGAUGGUGGGGUAAAGGCCCACCAUGGCGACGAUCGGUAAGGGCCUUGAGAGAGGUUGCCCUGAGAGGAUCACUGAAACACUGGAUCCAGCCCUACGGGGUGCAGCAGGCGAGAAUUCUUUACAAUGCACGAAAGUGUGAUAAGGGGACUCGAAGUGCUCAUGUAAUGCAUGGGCUUUUUACAAAGGUAAAUUCUUUGUAGAAUAAGUGGUGGGCAAGACUGGUGCCAGCAGCCGCGGUUAUACCAGCGCCACUAGUGGCAAUCAGUAUUAUUGGGCCUAAAGCGUCCGUAGCUGGUUUAGUAAAUCCUUUGUGAAAUUGAUGGACUUAAUUCAUCGAAUUGCUUAGGACACUACUUUACUAGGGAGUGGGAGGAGCUAGAAGUAUUAUGGGGGGAGCGGUAAAAUGUGAUAAUCCUCGUAAGACUACCUGUGGCGAAAGCGUCUAGCUAGAACACAUCCGACAGUCAGGGACGAAAGCCAGGGGAGCGAACCGGAUUAGAUACCCGAGUAGUCCUGGCCGUAAACGCUGUGAGUUUGGUGUUGCAUAUCUCAAGAGGAUAUGCAGUUUCUUAGCGAAGGCGUUAAACUCACCGCCUGGGAAGUACGGUCGCAAGACUGAAACUUAAAGGAAUUGGCGGGGAAGCGCUACCAGGGGUGAAAUGUGCUAUUUAAUCCAAAUCCACGCGGAGAAUCUCACCAGGGGCGAUGGCAAGAUGAAAGUCAAGUUAAAGUCUUUACUCGAUGGGCCAAGAGGUAGUGCAUGUCCAUCGUCAGCUCGUGCCGUAAGGUGUCCAGUUAAGUCUGUAAACGAGCAAGACCUAUAUCUCCACUUGCUAACGCGGGAUACGUCCUGAGCGAGCACAGUGGAGAGACUGCUGUGGAAACGCAGAGGAAGGUGUAGGCAACGAUAGGCCUGUAUGCUCCGAAUCUCCUGGGCUAUAAGUGCAUUGCAAUGGCAUGGACAGAAGGAUGCAACACCGAAAGGUGAAGCUAAUCCCAUAAACCAUGUCUCAGUACGGAUUGUGGUUUGUAACUCAGCCACAUGAAGGUGGAAUCCCUAGUAAUCGGAUUUUAUCAUAUUCCGGUGAAUACGUCAACGCUUCUUGCACACACCGCCCGUCACAUCAUCCGAAUUGGGUUUGGGUGAAAUUCAGUUUUUUUGACUAAAUUGAACUCAGGCUUAGUGAGGAGGGUUAAGUCGUCACAAGGUAGCCGUAGGGGAACCUGCGGCUGGAUCACCUCCUU